UACGUAGGGUGCGAGCGUUGUCCGGAAUUAUUGGGCGUAAAGAGCUCGUAGGCGGUCUGUCGCGUCUGCUGUGAAAACCCGGGGCUCAACUCCGGGCUUGCAGUGGAUACGGGCAGACUAGAGUUCGGUAGGGGAGACUGGAAUUCCUGGUGUAGCGGUGAAAUGCGCAGAUAUCAGGAGGAACACCGGUGGCGAAGGCGGGUCUCUGGGCCGAUACUGACGCUGAGGAGCGAAAGCGUGGGGGAGCGAACAGG
RNAcentral lists this ribosomal RNA (254 nucleotides) under uncultured bacterium. RNAcentral describes it as "partial 16S ribosomal RNA". It matches the Rfam family "Bacterial small subunit ribosomal RNA", at positions 524 to 776 of the family's 1533-position model. The record is from RNAcentral.